AGAGUUUGAUCCUGGCUCAGAACGAACGCUGGCGGCAGGCUUAACACAUGCAAGUCGAACGCCCCGCAAGGGGAGUGGCAGACGGGUGAGUAACACGUGGGAACAUGCCCAAAGGUACGGAACAACUCCGGGAAACUGGAGCUAAUACCGUAUGUGUCCGUAAGGAGAAAGAUUUAUCGCCUUUGGAUUGGCCCGCGUCGGAUUAGCUAGUUGGUGGGGUAAAAGCCUACCAAGGCGACGAUCCGUAGCUGGUUUGAGAGAACGACCAGCCACACUGGGACUGAGACACGGCCCAGACUCCUACGGGAGGCAGCAGUGGGGAAUCUUGGACAAUGGGCGCAAGCCUGAUCCAGCCAUGCCGCGUGGAUGAUGAAGGCCUUAGGGUUGUAAAAUCCUUUCGCCGAGGACGAUAAUGACGGUACUCGGAGAAGAAGCUCCGGCUAACUUCGUGCCAGCAGCCGCGGUAAUACGAAGGGGGCUAGCGUUGUUCGGAUUUACUGGGCGUAAAGCGCGUGUAGGCGGGUCGUUAAGUUGGGGGUGAAAUCCCGAGGCUCAACCUCNGAACUGCCUUCAAAACUGGCGACCUGGACUCAAGUAGAGGCAAGUGGAAUUGCGAGUGUANAGGUGAAAUUCGUAGAUAUUCGCAGGAACACCAGUGGCGAAGGCGACUU
This 671-nucleotide ribosomal RNA is filed under the name uncultured bacterium. RNAcentral's name for it is "bacterial SSU rRNA". It matches the Rfam family "Bacterial small subunit ribosomal RNA", at positions 8 to 727 of the family's 1533-position model. The record is from RNAcentral.